This 191-nucleotide ribosomal RNA is filed under the name Stenotrophomonas pavanii. RNAcentral's name for it is "partial 16S rRNA. Bacterial SSU". It matches the Rfam family "Bacterial small subunit ribosomal RNA", at positions 1 to 183 of the family's 1533-position model. Lineage: Bacteria; Pseudomonadati; Pseudomonadota; Gammaproteobacteria; Lysobacterales; Lysobacteraceae. The record is from RNAcentral.
UUUAAGUGAAGAGUUUGAUCCUGGCUCAGAGUGAACGCUGGCGGUAGGCCUAACACAUGCAAGUCGAACGGCAGCACAGGAGAGCUUGCUCUCUGGGUGGCGAGUGGCGGACGGGUGAGGAAUACAUCGGAAUCUACUCUGUCGUGGGGGAUAACGUAGGGAAACUUACGCUAAUACCGCAUACGACCUAC